GACGAACGCUGGCGGCGUGCUUAACACAUGCAAGUGGAGCGACGAACCAGGGCUUGCCCUGGGGCAGAGCCGCGAACGGGUGAGUAACACGUGGGUAACGUGCCCCGAUGACUGGGACAACCCGGGGAAACCCGGGCUAAUACCGGAUAUGCCCCCUCACAUCAGUGAGGUGUGUAAAGGAAGCUUCGGCCUCCGCAUCGGGAUCGGCCCGCGGCCCAUUAGCUUGUUGGUGGGGUAAUGGCUCACCAAGGCUUCUAUGGGUAGCUGGUCUGAGAGGACGAUCAGCCACACUGGGACUGAGACACGGCCCAGACUCCUACGGGAGGCUGCAGUCGAGGAUCUUCCGCAAUGGGCGCAAGCCUGACGGAGCGACGCCGCGUGGAGGAUGAAGGCC
This 394-nucleotide ribosomal RNA is filed under the name uncultured bacterium. RNAcentral's name for it is "bacterial SSU rRNA". It matches the Rfam family "Bacterial small subunit ribosomal RNA", at positions 28 to 416 of the family's 1533-position model. The record is from RNAcentral.